UAAUACAAAUCAACACAAUAAAGAAAUAAUAAUUAAAUAGAGUCAACGCCAAAAACUAAGCAAGCAAUUAAAAAAACGAGAGACAUUCAUUGAAAAAUAUUAUCAAUCACCAAAAAAUUUUAAAAUAUCAACUUAAAAUAUGGAAUAAAAUACCACGAGCAACUCAAUAAAAAUAGAGGUAUCAACAACUCAACAAAGGAAUAAAAUAACUUAAAAUUGUGAUGUGAUAUUUUACUUUGUCAGAGUAACAUGAAAAAUUAAAGUGUAAAAAAUGGAUGAAGGGAGCAGUAGAAACGAUGGUGCGUCAGAGGAAAAAGAAAGAGGGUGGCGGUGAAAGAGAGGAGAAUGGUGGAGGAAGAUCUGAGAUUGAACUUCGGUGAUUAUUUGGUUGUGGUUUUGUUGUUGUUUUAGCAGUGGUGGUGGUUGAGAUUUCUGGAGGGAGAUCGCCAGCGGCUGCUGUGGGCUGGAAGAUCGCCGGUCAUCACUUUCAGCAAACUAGUGGUGGAGCGGCGGAGAGGAGAAAGGGAAAAGAGAAUGUUUGGCAGUGGUGUUUGGAACUCUGGUGCUUUAACCGGUGGAGGGGGGCGGUGAUCUUCCCUUUGGCAGUGAAGAGAGAUGGACAAAUUGAAGAAAAAAAUGGAGAGAAGGGCAACUGUGAGAUGCAAAAAUAGGGAGCAAAAGGUGUGUAUAUGCGUGUGGGUUUGUAUUGUGUCCGUAUUUGGUGUGUGUCAGUGUGAAUAUAUU
RNAcentral lists this long non-coding RNA (744 nucleotides) under Capsicum annuum. RNAcentral's name for it is "long non-coding RNA (CANN_LNC000657)". The record is from RNAcentral. Lineage: Eukaryota; Viridiplantae; Streptophyta; Magnoliopsida; Solanales; Solanaceae.